Suncus etruscus (white-toothed pygmy shrew) is the source of this 127-nucleotide small nucleolar RNA. RefSeq annotates it as small nucleolar RNA SNORA51. Lineage: Eukaryota; Metazoa; Chordata; Mammalia; Eulipotyphla; Soricidae. The transcript has a single exon. The record is from RefSeq and is a predicted model, not a curated record.
GUAUUCUUGGUGAGGUUUUAUUUAAUUAAGAUUUUAAAACUAGAAAGAGGAGGUACAGUAAAUACACCCCAUAUACACCUCAACCCAGGCCCUUUGCCUGGUCUGUAUUGUGAAUAGAGGGACAAAA